AUAUAUAUAUAUAUAUGGCCAUCAUCAUAUAUUGAAUGGGGGAAUGUGGAAGCAGGGAGCAAACGUGUGCCAGGGAUAACUGCUGAAUAUUUCACAGCAAUCUGUGACCCCACAAAAUGUCAGUCCUUCUGCUCCCACAUUUUAAAUUCAGAAUGGUAUUUGGGUAUUAAUUGGAGCCAAGCUAUAGACUCUCAUAAGAAAUGCAUUGUUAUUUAAAUACUUAUAGGAUUCAGAACAAUUCUAUUUUAAUUAUUUUUAGGAGUCUGUGACCACAUUGCUGUUUUCAAAUGAAACCGUUCAUAUCUGCUCAAUAUCAGGGGUAUAUUUUGUGGUUCACUUAUUGCAAGUUUUUUUUCAUCCCCUCCCAUUGAGGCAACACUCUACUGUCAGAUUGUGUCACCUGCAUGAUCCAUGGAAAUGUAUUUAUCUAGUGUAUGAAGCAUGAAGGAAAUAUUUAAAGUGGACCUAUCACACACCUUUUUAAGUUCUUAGUUGUAUUUUCAUUAUCUACUAUUAUAAGUUGUCAUGCUGUUACAUUGCUGCUAGAUGGAUGAGUGGAUGGAUGGAUGGAUGGAUGGAUGGAUAGACAUGUUUAUGCUGCAGCAGCAUUCAUAACCGAGUAGACGAUAUAAAAUUCUAAAAUGUGCAAUAUAUUCAAGAAAAUAUAAUAGUAUUAUCUUAACUAACUCAACACUAGUGCAAAGAACUAAAGAAACAUACAUAGUCAGUGUGUCAGUAAUUCAUGAUGAUCAUAGAAACUUUACACUAUGUACAGCUGGUCGCUGGGAUUAAACUUGUUUAGUCUGAGAAAAUUGACACUCAAACAAAACUUCAUCAGUGGUCAAGUGGUUUAAUGGGCUCUCUGUGGAACCUUCUCUCCCUGCUCGCCCACUCACAGGCUGCGUUACUGUUUCACAGCCAUUAAACGUGCAAAAGACCUGUAAAAUGUGACGGUCAGACAUUUACAACCGUCGUUAUUUAACUGAAUCCACAAUACUGAAUGCUACUACAUUCAGAACUGUGGACCCACAACCAAAGCUAGCUGCCGUUGUAGCGCAGCGUGGCAGCGUGACAGUCAGCUAAAUACACAGCAACUCAAAUAACAUAGAAAGGACUAAACUUACAUCUUCCGGAGCUUCGCUUUAAAGGUGUUACUGACCCUCCUUCUGUAUUACCGCCACAAAACACAUACAUGGCUUUGGGCCCUACAGAAAUAAGAACCUAUUUUGAUCAUCUAUUUUUUGCACAGGGUUUUCAGAUGGAGCAGAGUUUCUGUGCAGGAUUUGUGUGGUAGGUGGUGUUUUAUGCAUACGCAGCACUUUUAAAUGAGAGCGUUAUUAUGUUGUAUUAUGAAGGAAAUGGAAAUUAUCCGAAGGGAUUGAAAGUCCAGAUAUCUCAAGCUGACUUUUUUAGGGAAUGGCAUCAUUCCCAUCAUUGAUUGCGAUUUAUGAUACUUAACCUCUAUUAAAAUACAAACCUCACAAACAUUAACUGCAUGAAUGAGGUACAUUGCCAAACCCGAUCUCUCAGGUACCAACCGUCGCAGAGUUGCAGGAGUCGAUAAAGAUCAUGUAAAACCUGACAUCCGUCAUCAUCUUCCCUGAGAUGGAUUGAGAAUCAAAGGGUUUGUCCUUUGGAACAAACACUUCUCACUUCCACCGUCUAACUCGCCCUCCUCAAGUGCCUGCGUGGCGGCUCAGGCUCUGUCACUACGGCUGCGCUCUGUGCGCCUCGGGGGGAAUGACAGUCUAUUUAUGUGUUGCAGCUAAAACUUGAGCUCAUCUCCAUGUUAAUUGCUCCACUUGGGGCAGCACACGCUCUCCCCCGCCACGAUUACACUGUGCAGUCACGAUAAUUAUAACAAUCUUGGUGGUGAUGUUCGGCUGGUGCGGAGAAAACAGGUGAGGAGGAUGACAGAGGGUAAAUUACAGGGGGGAGGAAAAGAAAGGACCAUUUUAGCAUUCAAUUGCCGCCGGAAUAGGAACAUUCGUCAGAUUGGCCUCUGUUUCUAGGCACCGGAGCCCUGAGCCUUCACCAGUGAUUUAUAUGCCAGCCGUAUGGCCUCUCCUUAAAUUUGGAAUGUCCAGGACAGGAGAGCUAUAUAUAAAAAAUACUUUUAUUUUUAUUUAAAAUGUUGAAGAUUUAUAUUUUAAAAUUAGUCCACCAGGAAAGUCCAGUCACGAGCUGUCCGACAGCCGGGGUCCAUUUGCAGUCAAUCCGGCAGCAAUAAAUGUCACAGCACACUAGUCACCGCAAAGCAGAAACACGGCAUUACGUUCACCCAUACAUUCCCAUCCGGCUGACAAAUACACCCUCUUGGACUAGAUUCAUUCGAUGGCCCUGGAACUGGUGGGAAACACAUUUCUCCGGGCUCGGGCGCUGUGCUCUUCAUCAGAGGCUCGGCAGCCGCAGUCAUUGAGAGAAGCUGCUUCUUCGCUGCUUCCCUUUUAAAAGUUAGUUCAGGUUAGCGUGAAGUAGACGGUGGCUAAAAAUGGAACGGGGCUUUUCUUUGGUGCCUACUGACAGCUACUGAUGUGUUGGACGGGUGUUAAUCAUUAAUUAUACUUUUCAACCUUGUUUACUGAGCCUUUUAUUCGCUUUCAGCUUUCCCCAUCCUUACUUUUAAUCGAUUUCAUACUCACAGCGUGAAAGCACAUUACAGUGGUUUUUGAUGGCCAUCAAGAAACACCCCUGAAUUUCAACACUUUGUUGAAAAACCUUCCAAGAGUGAAGAGGAAAGAGAAACCACGGAUUCCAAGAAGCAUACGUCUACCGAAACAAUGGUCCUAAUGUCUCAGUGACUUCUUAUUUUGUGUUUGUUACUAUCGAGACAAGUAAUACCGUAAUUUCCGGAGUGCAGAGCGCACCUGAGUAUAAGCCGCACCACCUAAAUUUAGAAAGAAAGACAAAUGUGUACAUAUACAAGCCGUACCUGUCUGUAGGCCGCAGGUGUCCACUCUGUAACAUGAGGUAUUUACACAGAAGGAUGAUACACAGACAUUUUUUAUUUUUAAUCACUGGAAAUAUAUGUAUUUUUCCAAAAAUUGCCUGUAACACGGCACUAAACCUGCACUAACACGGCAGAAAAAACGGGAGUGGCGAUUCGGCUUUCAGUCGGAUCUGCACGGUGGAAACACCACGGCCGUCUGGUGUAAGUAAGUUCUUCAUGUUGCCGUCUCCAACAUCUCAAGUUUAAGCGCAGCCGCUCUGUUUCCUUCUGCGACAGACAGCUUAGUUGCCCGUAACUUAAAUGCUGCAACACAUGCAUUCCUACGUGUAUUUUCCAUGACAAUUGUUUGAAUAUGAUGCGCAAAAGGGUUGAUCGAAACACAACCACACGUCUUCCUCGGCGCAUUCUCUCGCUUUCACGUUUCUCGUUAGCCUGUAAAAGAUGAUACAUUAGCCGCACUGUUGUAUAAGCCGCAGGGUUCAAAACGUGGGGAAAAAAAUAGCGGCUUAUAGUUCGGAAUUUACGGUAGUUUGGAAUUGUAAGUAAGUAAGUAAGUAGCAAAAUAUGUUUGCCUAAAGAUAACUCCCUCAAGGGUUUACAUUUUAUUAGUGAAAAUUUAGGCUAAUUCAGAAGUGCAAGAACUGCAAUUAUUCUUCCAAAGAAAGUCAUUUCCAUUAGAACACAAUGUCGAAUCAAUGUGAACGUUUUAUGUAGAGCAUUUUGCCGCAGUUUGAUCAAAUAUUAUUAUUACUAUUUAUUUGUUUUAACACCUACAGUUUUAAUAGUACUUUAGAUUCAAAGCAAAAAUAUUGACCCUUUUGAGCAGAAAUAAUAGUAAUUUCAACGGCUGUUUGCACAUUGUUGGUUUAUCAGUUUCACACUUAAGUCCUACUGUAAAUCGUAUCAAAGACAAUUAAAAUCAUUGUAUGACUCAUUUUCCCUCUGAGGAGAUCAAGGCUUUAUUUUUAUCACUUUCUCUGGCGAACAAAGGAGGUUGUGUGACUCAUGCAUUCCGUAUUCGUUCGGGGCUCCUCCUCCGCCACAUCCAUCUGUUUAUCUUUACCCGUAAAGAAUUGUGGAUUCUGUGGAACAGAAAAAACAAUGACGGUUGGAAUGUGAACAAAGCCCCGUGUAAAGAAUAGCUCUGUUGGUUGGAUGCAAACAAAGGAAGUGCAGUUAUUUCCAGCUUCUUUCUUCAUUGCUUCACCCAGAAGCCAACAGACUCAUUUCCAUUAUGAUCUUCUUUGGCUCGCAGUACUUUGUCAUUGCCUUGCGGCGGGACCAGAUAUCUAUGUCCCGUUAAUACAUUUAAAUCUAAUUCGAUUUCAGACUCACACCUUGGGCAGAACCACAUUCUGGGAACACAGUUGAAGUAUACGUUUACACCACUAGAUGGGGGGAUGGUCCUAAGAAACAGAUACGAGUUUAAUGACCGCUAAUGCACCUCCAGUAGGAAUGUGUUGUGUUGUUCCGGCUCGUCUAUUUAAAACAAUGAUGGCUAACAUCUACUCGGGGGGGCGGGUAUUACCUUCUUUACACUGGCUUAUAUAGUGUGACUGACUGACCGACCUUUGCUGUUUAUGCUCUACCUCCGUUUCAUUGGAUGCAAUAAUAUGUUUGCAUUACAUCUAGUUGACCUUAUUCUAUAGGAAGCUCAGAUUCAAAUCCUCUAUAAACGACAUCUUUCUAGCAUCUUUCCCCAGAUAGCUUGUUUCUAAUGGGAGCCUGGAGCAGCCGUCCCCCCACCUGCGGCUCCAGGGUCAAAACCAAAUUAAACAUGUAAAAACGUGCAAAAAAAAAAUUUGUUUUCACUAUACAGAAAUCACAUAUGUGAGUUUAGAUACUGUUUAACACAGAUACAAUCGAUGGUGCUUGUCAGUUAUGAUGAAUCCAAGUUUAACAUGGAGUAUUUUUGUACAAGAGCUUGACUAAACAAACAACAGAUGAACCAGACUCAAGUGAGAUAAAAAUAACUGCAUGGUGCCUCCCUCACCCCUAAGCUCUGGCUCACUGCCCUGAUAGAAGUGUAAACGGGGAAACAUGAGGAUAAAAGACAGAGAGCAGCACCCGGGCUUAUAUUUACUGACAAUGAAUCUAAUAUAACAAGAUGAAAUGUGGCUCCUAAUGUAUAUUUGGGAAAUUCAUCCUUUAUUUAUUCAUAUCUAGCUGAUCACAUCAGAUAUUUGUUAGCUGGAAAAAUGUUAUUGUUUGUAUGAAUCCGACUAUGACGAGGUUAUUAUUUAUAUACUGGCUGUGAUUAGCAGUGGGGAGAACUGAGUAAAUUGACGUGUGUGGGUUUCUUGAUGUUGUUGUUGUUGUUACUUUCCUGACACCAGGUGGAGCUCUCCGCUCGGCAGCCACGCUGAAGCCGCUCUGCACUUUUCCCAGAGGGUCAGCGGGUUGAAUCUCACUCCAAGCAUCUUACUUACAGGUGCACACGCAAAGCCACAGGGGAGCUAUUAAUAGAAAAGGUAACUCAAUGACACCGUUUGAGCAACUUCUCUCAAUGCUGAUACUGUAUGUGGGUGUGCAUGUAGAUGUUAUAACAAUACGACAGUUUUCAAACUAUAAUCCAAAGCCAUCUGGGUUUGACAACAGAUGACAUCACAGGGUGCCUGUACGGGUGUGAGUGGGCGGGCGAUGACAUGCAGUGUUGAGUACAUUUACCGGAUCUGAAAAGAGUUUUAGGAUUAGUGAAGAAGACGCUGCCAACAAAGAUGACUAACAGUGAGAACAAACAUCCAGCAAGUCAACGUGUCCCGUUGUUCAUGUAAAAUGUCGCUCAUGUCAAGCCCUUCUGUCCCUCGAAUUAGAGGGGUCAAAGGUUGCAGACAAAGGAUCCUGGUACACAAACUUGGUUUCUAAAAAGGUCUUUGGGUUCAAUCCUUCAAAGCGUCCUUUGGGCAAAGUAAUGCUGAAAAUCAAUUUAACGGCACUCAGCUGAGCUUUGAACGGCUUCUUGAAGAAGCUGAUCUCCCGAUAUGUGACAUAACUCCAUCUGGGACGAAUUAAAGACUCCUUGGCAACAAUAGCUUUUCUUACUCAAUAUCAAUGUUCAAAUGCCAAAAGCUGAGCACGAUUGUUUUGUGCUCUUUGGUUGUCCCUCACACGUCCCUUGAGUAUUACCCCCCUGGUGUAAUACUCACUGGUGCUUUCCAGAUGCACAAUCACAGGAUUGUGUCGGUACAACACAACAUCCAGCCUGCCGCUGCAGGUUAGCGCUUUGUGUGUGUUGGGGUGCGUCCUUUCUGGCCAGCUGACAGCUGAUCUGCUUAAAGGCUUUACUGUAGGUGCCAGGCGGCCGGGAUAAAGCGGCAGCGGUGGUGCUUCGCUCUCCCCUCGGACUUGAUCCACAGGGUUAAUCGGAACAGGUUUGAAACCAGUUCUUUGGCGGCGAGCCCAGUCCAGGCACAUGCAGGCACAGAUAGGUUAGUCACUGUUGUGGUUAUGCUGAAACAGCAUCUAAGGUCUCUCUGUGCAGCCUUAGAGUUCCUGCGUCCUCGGCCCACUUUUACACUGGCUUUCUUUGUUGAUUUGUAAUUAUUAAACAUAUUUUAAACCUAAAGUAUUUCAAUAAAUUUUUCAUUUUUUUUUUUAUAUAUAUGUGUAAUUAUUAUAUCUAAUAACAAAAUUAGAGUAUGAGAUGUUUUUGUUUCACAUAUAUUUAACUUUAACUUUAAAUUUCAUAAAUAUGAAUUCCAGUACCUUUUGCUUCUCUAAAGGAUUUAAUCUUCCUUUGACCAUAAAUGGCAGGUGGUUUGCUAUUGUAGCAACCCUUCCUAACACUCCAAAGUGCAUUUUUCCACUGUUUAUAUUUGGUUGAACGUAUUCCAAAAUCUGUAGAUGAGCCGGAACAACACUGCUCUUGCAAAACACGGCAGCACCGUAGUUGUGACAUUAAACAUCCAGGAUUAUCAAAAGAAUUCUUUUACUUUCUUUGCAUGAAAUAUGUGAUGAAUUCAAUAGUGUUUGUCUCCUCUCUCUCCGUCUUUUCUAUUAAAGCUGAAAGCAAAGAGAGACACUGGAAAGGCAGAUGCAGACACAGACACUCUCAUCAUGCAGCCCGCUUGUUUGCCAAAGUCUCCAUCUUCACUGCUGUACUGAGCCGACAUGAGGAGUCAGAUUAAGAGCUCUAAUCGCCCGCGUUGCAGCCUCAAUAACUACCGACUGCCUUCCUCCACUCUGAUUAUCAAAUUCAUAUUUAAUUAUAUUAUGGACCAAGAUGAAUACAUGUCCUCACAUCUGUUCCUCAGCACGGGACAACGUUAAUACAUUUUUAGUCCACUUUCUGCCACGAUAAUAAAACAAGCAGGUCAACAAGCAAACUUUAGCGUUUCAAAAUGUAUUUGUAAGAAGAUCACAUGACUGAUAGUACGGGAAAGAUGUCCCUUGUAAUGAUGACUCUAAGUGCCCCUUUAGCCGUGGAGCGUUUCAGCCUCUUUCAGCUCAUUAUUGUCUAAUUUUGUAAUUUUCUCAGCAUUGAAUUUAAUUAAAUUUGUCUUUUUAUUUUUUCCUAAACGUGAUGUUGGUUACGCAAGAAAUCCAAACCAUAGUCUUUUCCUUACUAUUGCAAAAACUGAUCUGAAUGCUGAAUGUUUUCUCUCAUAUAAUAAGGAGGUUUAAAUGAAUAGCGUUCACGCCUAUUAGAUGACAUUUUGAUCAGAAACCCAUGACCUGGUUAUCUUCCAUCUGGACCUCUUGGCAAUAAUAUCUUUUCUCACUCAUUCUGAGCACAAGUACAUAACCUUCAUCAUCUGCACUACGAGUCCUAAAUGACUAACAUCAAUAUUGAUGCAAAAAGCUGAGCACGGUUCUUUUGUGCUCUUUGGCUGUCCCGAAGAACAUUAACGCCUAUUAGAUGAGACUGUCAUGACAUUUUCAACAGAAACCCAUGACCUGGUUAUCUUGCAAAGUAUUUGCAAAAUAAAGUAAAUAUUUGAAUAUAAGACAUGUAUGCUCUCGAGAAGAUUCAUCCCCUAAAAAGCAUUGAUCGAGCCCAACAUUCGAAUCAUGGCUGAUGGCUUUGCUGAUACAAGAGGAUGGCGUUAUGAUGCCGUUAAGUCUAAUAUUUAGGAAGUGGGGAAAAAAAGAAAUUGCUGUACCUUUAGCUAGCACCUUUGUCAAUUGCAUGUUCUUUCUCUAGUAAUAGUAAGUAAUUAAUCAACCUCAGGACUGUGAUCAUGAAAUGCAAAGGGUUCAUCCUCGGGCCACCCAGAGAGCCGUUGUGUCUGUAAAGCCAACGGCGAAACGUGCAUCACCAAGUUUUAGAUGGCAGAGCAGAUACGAACUGAUUUUAUUGCCCACUCCUGAAGGAAAUGAAAUGAUGCGAAGGACAUCCCAAGCGAAACAAAGCGCAUUGUCCCUUUUGAAAAACACUGGUACGUCUAUUGCGUUGCAUGAACUAAUGCAAUGGCACGAGCAGCUGUUUAAGACAUCAGCGCUAAUGAAGAGCGUAGGCUCGUGACUGCAGCAGACAAACUACGUCUUGCUUGUCCCUCCGGCGUAGUGCCUGACGUUUGAACACUCAGAUAUGGAUCUACAACAGAGCAAUCCAGCCCUAUCAGUUUCCUUUUUCUUCAUCAAGUUCCUGUGGGAGGCUGAUGACGUCGGGAAAGUCUCUGCGCCUGGUAGCUGCCAUUGUUUGCCACUUUGGGACAGUGAAAAUAUGCAUUUGUCUGAGAGCAAUAUGCAGAAAGGUGUAGAAUGUAAACAAACAGACUCACUGGUUCGUCCACAUUGCUGCGUUCACACUUGACCCCCACUGCAGCUGCAGCCAAAGCAUGCAUCUCAUUUCCCUUUAUUGGGUUGACAAGCAGGUUUGAUGACAAUUGGCUGCAGAACAUAUAUUAGUUAGAGUUAAUUCAAUUUAUUUUUCACAUUUGAAAGUUUUAAUUUGUGUCCCUAUUUCAGAUUGACUGGCAAUUAGUCCUCUUGCCACACGCAUUUUUAUCUCCUGUGUGUGUGUGAGUUAUAAGCAUUAGAAGUCUGUGUUCUUGUUGACAGGAUGGUUUUGUACACAUAUUGUUUUAUUUCUGUUUGUUUAGUUUUAUUUUGAAAUCCUCGGCGUCCUGUGUUUUUUUAAUUCCUGUCCAUCAAUGUUCCCUCCUUCUUUCUGUGAUCAGCUGGGCUUCAUUAGUCCGGUGGUCCUCGCUGUGGCCCCUCAGGUUUUGUCUUCUACCAAUCAGCUGUCAGGCGGCCUUUGUGUCGUCCAACCUGUGUCUUAUUGUCUGAUUAGUUUAUUGUGUAUUUAUUGUCCUGUCUUUUGUCUGCUGGCUGUUGGUUAGUCUGCAAUGUCCCCUGUCGCUGCUGCUGGUGUGUUUUGUGUGGUGUUCUCCCACUCUGGUUUGCCUCUUUGGUAUUUCAUUUUUUUACCUCUCCUGCUCCUAUAAGUUUUGUUUUGGACAUUCCUGGUUCAUGAAAAGCCCCGUGUAUCAUUCCUCUGUUCCACCGGUUCUACCCGCACUUGGAUCC
Molecule: long non-coding RNA, 9421 nt
Organism: Gasterosteus aculeatus aculeatus (three-spined stickleback)
Lineage: Eukaryota; Metazoa; Chordata; Actinopteri; Perciformes; Gasterosteidae
Source: Ensembl